GCUUCUAUAGGUUAAUGGUAAACCAAUCGUCUUCCACACGAAUAUUGUCGGUUCAAGUCCGGCUAGUUGCG
Molecule: transfer RNA, 71 nt
Filed under: Scopulariopsis brevicaulis (arsenic fungus)
Lineage: Eukaryota; Fungi; Ascomycota; Sordariomycetes; Microascales; Microascaceae
Also listed under: 1 other name
Description: tRNA-Gly
Rfam family: tRNA
About the family: Transfer RNA (tRNA) molecules are approximately 80 nucleotides in length.
Source: RNAcentral